Molecule: long non-coding RNA, 229 nt
Organism: Helianthus annuus (common sunflower)
Lineage: Eukaryota; Viridiplantae; Streptophyta; Magnoliopsida; Asterales; Asteraceae
Exons: 5
Source: RefSeq, a predicted model, not a curated record
AAGCGCAAAAACAGGCAACAAAUAUUGACACCGGAUACUAAUACAUGCGGACCAGCAAUGCGGACAAGGGGGGGUAGAAAAGUUAAGGAUGCACAUUGUGAGGAGAAGGUACGCAGGAGAAAGCUAAUAAUUUUACCAGAUAGUGACUUGGACACUCCGAUGGAAAACAUUGAGAAAAGAAAAAAAGGCGAGGGCGAUCAGGACGGGCCGGCAACACGUACAAGAGGAG